Molecule: ribosomal RNA, 440 nt
Filed under: uncultured bacterium
Lineage: Bacteria
Description: partial 16S ribosomal RNA
Rfam family: Bacterial small subunit ribosomal RNA
Source: RNAcentral
CCUACGGGAGGCAGCAGUGGGGAAUAUUGCACAAUGGAGGGAACUCUGAUGCAGCGAAGCCGCGUGAGUGAAGACGUCCUUAGUUGUGUAAAGCUCUAUCAGCAGGGAAGAAAGUGACGGUACCUGAAAACGAAGCUCCGGCUAAACACGUGCCAGCAGCCGCUGUAAUACGUAUGGAGCACGCGUUAUCCGGAUUUACUCGGGGUAAAGGGAGCGUAGGCGGGAAGGCAAGGUAGAAGAGAAAGGGCAGGGCUCAACCCUGUACAUGCUUUUGAAACUGAGGUGCUAGAGUGCAGGAGAGGUAAGUGGAAUGCGUGGUGUAGCGGUGAAAUGCGUAGAUAUUAGGAGGAACACCAGUGGCGAAGGCGGCUUACUGGACUGUAACUGACGUUGAGGCUCGAAAGCGUGGGGAGCAAACAGGAUUAGAUACCCCUGUAGUC